AUCUGCCCUUCACUCUGGGACAAGCCCUGGAAACGGGGUCUAAUACCGGAUACUGACCUGCCAAGGCAUCUUGGCGGGUCGAAAGCUCCGGCGGUGAAGGAUGAGCCCGCGGCCUAUCAGCUUGUUGGUGAGGUAAUGGCUCACCAAGGCGACGACGGGUAGCCGGCCUGAGAGGGCGACCGGCCACACUGGGACUGAGACACGGCCCAGACUCCUACGGGAGGCAGCAGUGGGGAAUAUUGCACAAUGGGCGAAAGCCUGAUGCAGCGACGCCGCGUGAGGGAUGACGGCCUUCGGGUUGUAAACCUCUUUCAGCAGGGAAGAAGCGAAAGUGACGGUACCUGCAGAAGAAGCGCCGGCUAACUACGUGCCAGCAGCCGCGGUAAUACG
This 390-nucleotide ribosomal RNA is filed under the name Streptomyces sp. RNAcentral's name for it is "bacterial SSU rRNA". It matches the Rfam family "Bacterial small subunit ribosomal RNA", at positions 124 to 527 of the family's 1533-position model. Lineage: Bacteria; Bacillati; Actinomycetota; Actinomycetes; Kitasatosporales; Streptomycetaceae. The record is from RNAcentral.